Molecule: ribosomal RNA, 620 nt
Filed under: bacterium
Lineage: Bacteria
Also listed under: 1 other name
Description: bacterial SSU rRNA
Rfam family: Bacterial small subunit ribosomal RNA
Source: RNAcentral
AGUUAGCGGCGGACGGGUGAGUAACACGUGGGUAACCUGCCCAUAAGACUGGGAUAACUCCGGGAAACCGGGGCUAAUACCGGAUAAUAUUUUGAACUGCAUGGUUCGAAAUUGAAAGGCGGCUUCGGCUGUCACUUAUGGAUGGACCCGCGUCGCAUUAGCUAGUUGGUGAGGUAACGGCUCACCAAGGCAACGAUGCGUAGCCGACCUGAGAGGGUGAUCGGCCACACUGGGACUGAGACACGGCCCAGACUCCUACGGGAGGCAGCAGUAGGGAAUCUUCCGCAAUGGACGAAAGUCUGACGGAGCAACGCCGCGUGAGUGAUGAAGGCUUUCGGGUCGUAAAACUCUGUUGUUAGGGAAGAACAAGUGCUAGUUGAAUAAGCUGGCACCUUGACGGUACCUAACCAGAAAGCCACGGCUAACUACGUGCCAGCAGCCGCGGUAAUACGUAGGUGGCAAGCGUUAUCCGGAAUUAUUGGGCGUAAAGCGCGCGCAGGUGGUUUCUUAAGUCUGAUGUGAAAGCCCACGGCUCAACCGUGGAGGGUCAUUGGAAACUGGGAGACUUGAGUGCAGAAGAGGAAAGUGGAAUUCCAUGUGUAGCGGUGAAAUGCGUAGAG